UGGCUAACUCCUACGGGAGGCAGCAGUGGGGAAUUUUGGACAAUGGGCGCAAGCCUGAUCCAGCAAUGCCGCGUGCAGGAUGAAGGCCUUCGGGUUGUAAACUGCUUUUGUACGGAACGAAAAGUCUUGGGUUAAUACCCUGGGAUCAUGACGGUACCGUAAGAAUAAGCACCGGCUAACUACGUGCCAGCAGCCGCGGUAAUACGUAGGGUGCAAGCGUUAAUCGGAAUUACUGGGCGUAAAGCGUGCGCAGGCGGUUUUGUAAGACAGUGGUGAAAUCCCCGGGCUCAACCUGGGAACUGCCAUUGUGACUGCAAGGCUGGAGUGCGGCAGAGGGGGAUGGAAUUCCGCGUGUAGCAGUGAAAUGCGUAGAUAUGCGGAGGAACACCGAUGGCGAAGGCAAUCCCCUGGGCCUGCACUGACGCUCAUGCACGAAAGCGUGGGGAGCAAACAGGAUUAGAUACCCCAGUAGUCCAGCUGG
This 481-nucleotide ribosomal RNA is filed under the name uncultured bacterium. RNAcentral's name for it is "bacterial SSU rRNA". It matches the Rfam family "Bacterial small subunit ribosomal RNA", at positions 329 to 803 of the family's 1533-position model. The record is from RNAcentral.